AAGUCGUAACAAGGUUUCCGUAGGUGAACCUGCGGAAGGAUCAUUAACAAAUUUUCCAAACCAAACCACGUAUGUGAACUGUUAUAAAGCCCAUGGUGUGCUCCGGCGCUGGGCAGUCGCGACCUCGUGUCGCAUUAAGACUGCUCAGACCAACGUCGGUCCACCGUGUUAUUUACGUCUGAGAGUACGCUUGAACCUGAGACUUUAUAGUAAAAUAUAAAGACAACUUUUAGCAACGGAUCUCUAGGCUCUC
RNAcentral lists this unclassified non-coding RNA (253 nucleotides) under fungal sp. RNAcentral's name for it is "partial internal transcribed spacer region". The stretch from base 1 to 46 matches the Rfam family "Eukaryotic small subunit ribosomal RNA", at positions 1786 to 1831 of the family's 1831-position model. Lineage: Eukaryota; Fungi. The record is from RNAcentral.